GUACUCAUCACCUCCUCCUCCCAAGAAGCCCUAUUAUUAUCACUCUCCUCCACCACCUUCACCUCCUCCACCUAAGCCAUACUACUAUCAUUCACCACCACCACCUUCACCUCCUCCACCCAAGCCAUACUACUAUCACUCACCACCACCACCUUCACCUCCUCCACCUAAACCAUACUACUAUCACUCACCACCACCACCUUCACCUCCUCCACCUAAACCAUACUACUAUCACUCACCACCACCACCUUCACCUCCUCCACCUAAACCAUACUACUAUCACUCACCACCACCACCUUCACCUCCUCCACCUAAGUCAUAUUACUAUCACUCACCACCACCACCACCCAAAAAGAAGCCAUACUACUACCAUUCUCCCCCACCACCUUCACCACCUCCUCCUAAGCCAUACUACUAUCACUCUCCCCCACCGCCUUCACCUCCUCCACCUACGCCAUACUACUAUCAUUCUCCCCCACCACCCUCACCACCUCCACCUAAGCCAUACUACUACCAUUCACCACCACCCCCACCGAAGAAGAAGCCUUACUACUACCACUCUCCACCACCAC
RNAcentral lists this long non-coding RNA (572 nucleotides) under Phaseolus vulgaris (common bean). Its description in RNAcentral is "long non-coding RNA (PVUL_LNC002044)". Lineage: Eukaryota; Viridiplantae; Streptophyta; Magnoliopsida; Fabales; Fabaceae. The record is from RNAcentral.